CUGUACCACUCUCCCUUGUCCUGUGUGAAAAGAUGAUAGCAAUAGUCCAAGCUCACGAUGGUGGUGGAGUGUGGCAACGGAGAAGGAAGCCCGUGGGCUCAGUGUGUAUUUGGAGCAAUCAGAAGAAACUGAAUGUGGGAAAUACUGUACUAUGGGCAAUGGCUCCAGCCGGGUCGUCGUUAGUCAAAAGACAGGAACAGCGUGCUGAUGACGUAUGCAACAGAGUGAUGGUACUGAUCGACCUCGGUGUUUCAGCUGGAGACCCGCAAACCAGGAGUUGGAGCAGACAGCAAGAGCAAACCCUCCGGUGUCCCCAGACAAUGGGUAAAUGGACCCAGACGGAAGCUCCGUGACUGCUUCUCUCCCCAGGGGCUUCCCACAGCCUUCCGAAGUUCCAGCAUGGCUCAUGACACACCUCACCAGCUCACCUCGUCACCCCUCCCACCCUAUUACCACCAGCUCCCACCUAGAUGAACUCCUAGCAGUUCCCAGGACACGCCAAGGGCCUUCUC
RNAcentral lists this long non-coding RNA (512 nucleotides) under Ursus maritimus (polar bear). RNAcentral describes it as "lncRNA (ENSUMAG00000017534.1)". Lineage: Eukaryota; Metazoa; Chordata; Mammalia; Carnivora; Ursidae. The record is from RNAcentral.